CAAAGCUUUCAACAUUUCUGGACGGAUCUCGGACCGGGGUGGUGGUUCCCCUGUUCAAAAAGGGGGACCAGAGGGUGUGUGCCAAUUACUGGGGUAUCACACUUCUCAGCCUCCCUGGGAAAGUCUACUCAAAGGAGCUGUGAGUGGCCGUACUGAGAGUAAGAAUGUUGUGCUUUUGGAAGGUCUGCUCUAGUUAACAGGACAGCGACAUGGAAAAUACUGUGACAACAAAGAAAAAAAGAAAAAAAGAACAGAAAAUCACAUAAAAGUUUCACCACAGAGGUUGCAAAGGGACUAAACACAUCCAAAAUUAGGCAAGAGUGGAUUUACAGGAACAAGACAACCAAUUAUGAAGACUUGCCUGUCCUAUCACACUUUGAGUUUCCCUGACAAACUUGUUUCCAGGAGUCAAGGUUUAGAAGAUUGCUUUCAUGAUGAAAUUUGCAGUCCUUGCCAUAAUGCUUUUGUUUACCGUGCCGAAUACAUUUUCUGGGCAUCACUAUCACAGAAGCUACUCUCACAGUGAUGAAAGGUUCUACCAUUUCCUGAUGCCAACAUAUACCUGGUAUCAACCUAGACCAGUGCCUCCACGGUUUGUGUUCCCACUUUGGCCUCUCUUCCCGGGAUUAAUUCCAGCCACUGUACCUCUACCUGCACCAAAUCCUGGACCAAGUCCUAGCAACCCCACCCCUGCCCCUAUCACCACCAUAAUCAGGGGAGAUAAUGGAUAGCUAGAAACCUUGGUUAUCUUGGAAGAAGACUGAUAUCAACCCAAUGGAUUUUAUUUUUAACUCAUGAAAUAUGUGUGGUCUUUUGGUAAAAUCUUUUAGUUUCCAGUUCUCUUAUAUCUAUUUUUUUAAAUCUCGGUGUUGAUGUAUUGUGUAUAUCCAUUUAUUUUGUAUCAUGUUAAAUAUUUUACAUUGUUACUGGACAAAGGUUUCUGGUCUUUUCUAAAUAUGUGUAUAUCUAAAUGUAGUUUAUAUCUUUUUAUUAUUCACUUCAAUAUUUUUCUAUGCUAAUUUCAGUUUGACACAAAAAAUAUCAUUUUGUGUGGCCUUGGGUGGUCUAUUGAUGCACAUGUGCUGCUGUGGUUUGGGUUGUCCAUGUCUGGCCCAGAGCAAAUUCAGCACACUCUGUGCUCUCAUUUUCUGUCUUUCUUUUAACUGCCUUUCCUCUAUCCAAUAAAGCAUAAAAUAUACCUUCAAAAUAUGAAUUUGUGACAGUCAAAAAGGUGUGGACUUGAUGGCUUAAAGUAAUCCAAAGCUUAAAUGCUACUGGGUGGGUCUGGUGUUUUGGCAUAUCUUACACAGGAUAAUAAACAUAGAUUAAGUAGAGCUCACUGUUGAUGUCAUAAUACCUCUUUUUGAUGACUCAGACAUUUCUUUCUGCAAUGAGUGAUAGCCUACACUUUAGUCAGCAUGAAAUGAUAAGCAUUUCUCUCAUAGAAAAAAAUUACUCUGGCACACCGCUAUUCUCAGUAAGUGGUAAGACGUAUUGCAUUAGCCAAAUAUUAGUGUGAAGGAGUUGUUUUCAACUAUAGGAUUUUUUUCAACAUUUAACAUUAGUUAUUUAAGUUGUUAAAUCAAUGUAAUCAAGUGCAUCAGAAAAAGUCUAUAAAAGAAGCAAAUACAACUGUGUGUGAAAGAGGCAGGUUCCUUGCCGAAUGUGAGUGUGCCAUCUAGUGGAACAGCUUAAUAACUGCUCAUGGGCUCAAUCAAAUCCCUUCCACCCUAUGAAACAUGUUGUAAUAGAGUUGGUUCUGUUCACAUGAUGAUUAGUAACUUGUCUAAGACCAGAAGACUUAUGUUACUUCCCAGUGCUAAUGUUUAGGCUAUGGCUCAUUGGGUUAAGUGUUGUAGCAUGCAGAUUAAGUAAGUUCAAAUCCUGUCAGUUACAUCAGGACAUUCAUUCACUUUAUGAAGACAUCCUGACAUGAUCCUUCCCUGUUUGUCUGUCUCCAGCAAUGGGUUACACACAUACUUGGGAUUGGGGUUAGGCUUUA
Esox lucius (northern pike) is the source of this 2002-nucleotide long non-coding RNA. The record is from Ensembl. Lineage: Eukaryota; Metazoa; Chordata; Actinopteri; Esociformes; Esocidae.